This 465-nucleotide ribosomal RNA is filed under the name Vreelandella stevensii. RNAcentral's name for it is "partial 16S ribosomal RNA". It matches the Rfam family "Bacterial small subunit ribosomal RNA", at positions 338 to 795 of the family's 1533-position model. Lineage: Bacteria; Pseudomonadati; Pseudomonadota; Gammaproteobacteria; Oceanospirillales; Halomonadaceae. The record is from RNAcentral.
CCUACGGGAGGCUGCAGUGGGGAAUAUUGGACAAUGGGCGAAAGCCUGAUCCAGCCAUGCCGCGUGUGUGAAGAAGGCCUUCGGGUUGUAAAGCACUUUCAGUGGGGAAGAAAGCCUUGGGGCUAAUACCCUCGAGGAAGGACAUCACCCACAGAAGAAGCACCGGCUAACUCCGUGCCAGCAGCCGCGGUAAUACGGAGGGUGCGAGCGUUAAUCGGAAUUACUGGGCGUAAAGCGCGCGUAGGCGGUCUGAUAAGCCGGUUGUGAAAGCCCCGGGCUCAACCUGGGAACGGCAUCCGGAACUGUCAGGCUAGAGUGCAGGAGAGGAAGGUAGAAUUCCCGGUGUAGCGGUGAAGUGCGUAGAGAUCGGGAGGAAUACCAGUGGCGAAGGCGGCCUUCUGGACUGACACUGACGCUGAGGUGCGAAAGCGUGGGUAGCAAACAGGAUUAGAUACCCCUGUAGUC